GAUGAACGCUGGCGGCGUGCCUAAUACAUGCAAGUCGAGCGAACAGACGAGGAGCUUGCUCCUCUGACGUUAGCGGCGGACGGGUGAGUAACACGUGUAUAACCUACCUAUAAGACUGGGAUAACUUCGGGAAACCGGAGCUAAUACCGGAUAAUAUAUUGAACCGCAUGGUUCAAUAGUGAAAGACGGUUUUGCUGUCACUUAUAGAUGGAUCCGCGCCGCAUUAGCUAGUUGGUAAGGUAACGGCUUACCAAGGCGACGAUGCGUAGCCGACCUGAGAGAGUGAUCGGCCACACUGGAAGUGAGACAGGGACCAGACUCCUACGGGAGGCAGCAGUAGGGAAUCUUACGCAAUGGGCGAAAGCCUGACGGAGCGACGCCGCGUGAGUGAUGAAGGUCUUCGGAUCGUAAAACUCCGUUAUUAGGGAAGAACAAAUGUGUAAGUAACUAUGCACGUCUUGACGGUACCUAAUCAGAAAGCCACGGCUAACUACGUG
RNAcentral lists this ribosomal RNA (497 nucleotides) under uncultured bacterium. RNAcentral's name for it is "partial 16S ribosomal RNA". It matches the Rfam family "Bacterial small subunit ribosomal RNA", at positions 28 to 507 of the family's 1533-position model. The record is from RNAcentral.